This is a long non-coding RNA of Pantherophis guttatus, 477 nucleotides long. RefSeq lists it as uncharacterized. NCBI's taxonomy places the organism in Eukaryota, Metazoa, Chordata, Lepidosauria, Squamata, Colubridae. The record is from RefSeq and is a predicted model, not a curated record.
UAGGCUCAAGGAUUAUCUCAGAUUUGUACAAGAAGGGACCACUUGCAAGUUCACUAAAGAAAGUAAGCUCCAUUUGCAGAGCCAAGGUUGGAGUGGAGGUACCAAAGUAGCUUGAGGAAUAUGGAGCUGAGGCUUCUAAAGUUGCAUGUAGCCUCUUAUUGGAGGCCACAGUUCAUCCUGAAAUUCUUCUCAAUUAAGCACAUCUUCAUGAUGUGGAUUAACGUGUUGGAGUCUGUCCACUUGUACCAAGAAACAGGAUUUACCAUUCAGUUUCAGCACCAUAAAAAUGAACAAGCAUGUCCUGGAAGAUACCCUGAUCUUUGACUUCAGUGUUGUCAUGUAGCAGAGGCUGAACAAACCAAGAGCAUUUAAUUGUCGUCUUCAUGUUGUUCUGCUUCAGUGUCACAGUGCAGUUAUGUCUGUAAUGUGGUCCUAAGUACGUUUACUUAGAAUAAAGCACACUUGAGUUCAAUAUUA